AAGACUAUAGACCUGCGGAGUACCUGCGGAAGGAUCAUUAUUGAAUUAUGUUUCUAAAUGGGUUGUAGCUGGCUCGUCAGAGCAUGUGCACGCCUGUUUGGACUUCAUUUUCAUCCACCUGUGCACCUAUUGUAGUCUUUGGUUGGGUAUCAAGGAAGUGGUCAGCCUAUCAGCACUUGCUGGAUGAGAGGACUUGCAGUGUGAAAGCUUUGCUGUCCUUUACUUGAUCAUGGAGUUGUU
This 240-nucleotide unclassified non-coding RNA is filed under the name soil metagenome. RNAcentral describes it as "partial contains 5.8S ribosomal RNA, internal transcribed spacer 2, and large subunit ribosomal RNA". The record is from RNAcentral.